AGUGAAGUCAGCUAAUUAAGCUAUCGGGCCCAUACCCCGAAAAUGUCGGUUACA
This 54-nucleotide transfer RNA is filed under the name Varanus bangonorum (Bangon monitor lizard). RNAcentral describes it as "partial tRNA-Met". The record is from RNAcentral. Lineage: Eukaryota; Metazoa; Chordata; Lepidosauria; Squamata; Varanidae.